This 700-nucleotide ribosomal RNA is filed under the name uncultured bacterium. RNAcentral describes it as "bacterial SSU rRNA". It matches the Rfam family "Bacterial small subunit ribosomal RNA", at positions 94 to 828 of the family's 1533-position model. The record is from RNAcentral.
AGUGGCGGACGGGUGAGUAACGCGUAAGAAUCUAACUUCAGGACGGGGACAACAGUGGGAAACGACUGCUAAUACCCGAUGUGCCGCAAGGUGAAACCUAAUUGGCCUGGAGAAGAGCUUGCGUCUGAUUAGCUAGUUGGUGGGGUAAAGGCCUACCAAGGCGACGAUCAGUAGCUGGUCUGAGAGGAUGAGCAGCCACACUGGGACUGAGACACGGCCCAGACUCCUACGGGAGGCAGCAGUGGGGAAUUUUCCGCAAUGGGCGAAAGCCUGACGGAGCAACGCCGCGUGAGGGAGGAAGGUCUUUGGAUUGUAAACCUCCUUUCUCAAGGAAGAAGUUCUGACGGUACUUGAGGAAUCAGCCUCGGCUAACUCCGUGCCAGCAGCCGCGGUAAUACGGGGGAGGCAAGCGUUAUCCGGAAUUAUUGGGCGUAAAGCGUCCGCAGGUGGUCAGCCAAGUCUGCCGUCAAAUCAGGUUGCUUAACGACCUAAAGGCGGUGGAAACUGGCAGACUAGAGAGCAGUAGGGGUAGCAGGAAUUCCCAGUGUAGCGGUGAAAUGCGUAGAGAUUGGGAAGAACAUCGGUGGCGAAAGCGUGCUACUGGGCUGUAUCUGACACUCAGGGACGAAAGCUAGGGGAGCGAAAGGGAUUAGAUACCCCUGUAGUCCUAGCCGUAAACGAUGGAUACUAGGCGUGGCUU